CAUUCAAAAUUGAAUUCGAAUUUAGUUUGGUUAAGGCUUAACCUUAAGUAUACCUAACGCUGUGGUCCCCGAGCUCGCUUUUCAUCCUAAUUCUGUAGUAUUUUUUGGUACCAACACCGCCCUUGGCAACAAUGUUGCCUUUAACGCCUGGCUAGAGUUGCCAAAGAGAUUGGUUUAAUACAAAGCUUUGAUUUUAUUUCUGUUUUUGUACAUAAUGUACAUGCUAGCCAUGUAGCUAAUGUAGUGUAACGGAAACAUGCGGUUUCAACUGUUUUGCUAGCUUGCUUGUCAGGUAGUCGCGGUGGCUACCUUCGAUAUUUGUUGGAAUAGAUGGCGAAUACAAAACUAACUUGCAGUGUGUCCACGUCGCUGCUGUUUUAUGGAUAGACACUUUCAUGAACUCACCAUUAUUUCACGUUAGCGAAGUCUUCAUGUCCCAAGUCGUGUUUGGCGAGCGUUAGCUAGCCGGGCUAUGCCGAAGGUGCGUUCUUGUUACACUGUAAAAGUCGGGAUUUCCAACAGUUCUUGAAUGAAGCGUUUCAUUUCAAGAUGCGUGCACAUACUUGUUAAAUACAUUUGACUAGUUUGAACAGUACUUGAUGUAUUUGUUAUGAACUUAUCGACUGGACGUUUGUGUUUUAUUACUCGUUGGCCACGGCUUGAAGAAGAACCGCACUUUAAAACGUCCGAGGAAAUAUGAAUGCAACAUUAGUUUCUAUAGCAACCGAACUACAGGGUGAGACGCAUUCAGGAACAAAAUACAACAUGAUUUUGAGCUGUACGGUAUAUUGAAGCAUUGUAACGCUGGGUAUUAAAGUGACAAAUGACAUAAUUAUUGAAUAUACACUUUCAAGGAAUAAAACACGCGAAUUUAAAUAGUUCAGCUUGACUGAACAAUUAAUAUUAGCAGCGUCGUUGAGAAUGUCACGUUCGAAUGUGGAAAAUGUAUAAAAUGAGAACUGAUACGUUUAUUUUUGGGAACACAAAGCAAAACGACUUGACAGUAUAGGAACAACAGCAAUAUUUAGGGGUGUGUUGCAGUAUUGUGAAGGUGAUAACACUCCAGGUAGUUAAAAAUCCUAGUAGCCAUGAACGCAACAAACCACCCAGCAACCCGGAACCAAAACAACACAAUGCAGAAAUGAGGCACAUUUUGGCACUAACUUUACGCUUGACUUUAACAAGAGUGCAAUAACUUUCACGUUAUUCCGUUUUAUUUUAACAUUAUAUAAUUUAUUUACUAACUUUAUUCUUCUAUUUGUCAUGAGUUUACGCGCUCGUUUGAGAAACUACGCGAAUGGAGAUGGAGCUCUCCUGUUGGACGGUGGAUUAGCAACACAACUGGAGGCUCAAGGUGCAAAAUUGCAGGGAGACCCCCUGUGGAGCGCCAGGCUUUUGGCUACAGAUCCUCAGGCUAUUAGCGAUGCUCAUCACAGCUUUCUCAAGAGCGGCGCCAACAUCAUCACCACAGCCACCUACCAGGCGACCAUUCAAGGCUUCGUCCGACACUUAAACGUGAGCUCGGACGUCGCCAGGGAGCUGCUGGUGUCUGGGCUUCACCUCGCCAAACAGACGGUCACCGCAUACGUGUCUGACACUCAUGGGAAAGCGUGUCCCCUGGUGGCGGCGUCGGUGGGACCCUAUGGAGCCUCCUUGCACGACGGAUCCGAGUACACCGGGGCGUAUGCGAAGACGAUGAGCGUUGAGGAGCUGAAAUCUUGGCAUAGGCCUCAGCUGGAAUGUUUGGCGGCGGCGGGAGCUGACCUCUUGGCUUUCGAGACCAUCCCAAGUCUCAAAGAAGCCGAAGCGCUGGUGGAGCUCUUGCGAGAAUUACCAAACUGCGAUGCUUGGCUCUCCUUCUCUUGCAAGGAUGGGGCAUGUCUAGCAGACGGUAGCUUGUUCGGCGAUGGUGUUCGUGUGGCAAACAAGUCGACGCAGCUGCUGGCCGUGGGAGUCAACUGUUGUACUCCCGAGUGGGUGGAGACUCUGCUGGACUCGGCCAAGGCACUGAAGAGUCCCAACAUGAGAUAUAUUGUGUACCCCAACAGCGGGGAGGAGUGGGAUGCUGAGCAGGGAUGGAGAACAUCAUCAGGGAAAUCGUCGAUACCAGCACUCAGUCACACGUGGAUCAAACAAGGCGCCACUUUGAUCGGGGGUUGCUGCCGCGUGGGUCCCGAUCAGAUUGCCGAGCUGAGACGACAUUUGGAAGGACAUGGAAACAUAACGAUAAGAUAAUGGCCUCAGAUGUGAUUUAUUGGAAAAUAAAUGAACAGCAAACACACGUGUACGUGUACAGUGAUGUCACCAGUGAGGAAAAAUAGGUCUGGUGGUCACUAUAAACAAUGAUGGAAAAAUACUAUAUAUACUACUAAAUACAACUAAGUAGGUUGUACAUUGUUUUUUUAGUCUACAAAGACAAAAGAAUGGUAAAAAGUAGGCUGUAAGGUGACAUUGCGUCUCGUUUAUGUACAAAUAAAUAGUACUAUCAUGUAACAACUUGAUACAAAUACAUCAAACUUGUAUUUCACCACUAGAGAAAAAUAGUCCCAAGAUGAUGAUGUCACUGCACUUUUACGGAUACUUCACGCCACUGCCGCCUCUGGAUGGAGGUGGUAUUACAAGUGGACUCUGUUAACGGGGCUUCUUGACAGCUGCGCCUUCCUGUCGGGUCGAUGUGGGGGAUUCAGUCCAUCUCGUCCUCCUCCAGGUCGCUGUCAGGGGAGCUCCUCUGUCUGUUCUCUGCGGUGUUAGGCAGGCGCCUCCAAGUGGCGUCUUUCUGACUGCCCAUGCUGUGCGAUCGUCCCAGCUGGACCAGGCGCUUGGCAGACGUCCUCCCCUCCGCUUCAUCUGUGUCGUGACGAAGGUUCUCCAGAUUGAGAGCCCAGGGGCCCAGCUUCUGCCAAUUGACCCUCUGGAAGGCCAUGAUGCAGUGCAGAGCUGCUCGCCUGGGGUACCUUUUUGGUGGUGCGCCUCUGGAUGCCCUUCUCCAUAUGGCGAAUGUCCAGGUAUUCUGGAUUCUGGGUGUUGAGGUCGGUCACGAUGUCCAACCACCUGCACAACAACACUUAAAACCCCAAAAAAGACCCCCACUCCCCAAGAAAAAAAAACCAAACUCCACAGGUGCUUACUUUUUACAGUGGAUAGCUGCAUGCUUCCUGCUGGGUUCUCCAAUCAGGAUCCAGUGCUCCAUCUCACUGGUGGGCAGAGGACCUCUAGAAAAAAACAGACUCUAUAUGAGGACUGGUGUGAUGUCAUCUGUGCCAUCUUUAAAAAAAAACAACCCUUUUGUCCCAUUUUUGUAUUUGAUUUAUGUCCUCAUUUCAUCAUGUAAUAUCACCAAGUGUGACAUCACCAUAUCACCAUUUGAUAUCAUCAUGUGUGAUACCAUAUGGCAUUUCUAUGAUAUCACCAUGUCUAUAUAAUCAUUUUGUGAUAUUACCAUAUGUACGAUAUCGUCAUAUGUCUGAUACCAAAUGGCCAUAUUGGCAUUUCUAUGAUAUCACCAUGUCUAUAUCACCGUUUUCUGAUAUUACCAUGUGUCUGAUAUUACCAAAUGGCUGAUAUCACAAAUUCUGACAUCAUUCAUCUGAUAUCACCGCUGUCUGAUAUUACCACGUGUCUGAUAUCAUCACAUGCCUGAUAUCGCUGUAUGUCUGAUGUCAUAUAUAUACUCUAUAGCCAUGGAUGUCCAAAGUGCGGCCCACAGCACCUUGUACAAAUACAAUUAAUCAGAAACAGCAAAAUUGAGAAAUAUAGAGCAAAAUGUGCCAAGAUGAA
Doryrhamphus excisus (bluestripe pipefish) is the source of this 3777-nucleotide non-coding RNA. The record is from RefSeq and is a predicted model, not a curated record. NCBI's taxonomy places the organism in Eukaryota, Metazoa, Chordata, Actinopteri, Syngnathiformes, Syngnathidae.